Molecule: ribosomal RNA, 483 nt
Filed under: uncultured bacterium
Lineage: Bacteria
Description: partial 16S ribosomal RNA
Rfam family: Bacterial small subunit ribosomal RNA
Source: RNAcentral
UUGAACGCUGGCGGCAGGCCUAACACAUGCCAGUCGAGCGGAUGAAGGGGGCUUGCUCCUGGAUUCAGCGGCGGACGGGUGAGUAAUGCCUAGGAAUCUGCCUGGUAGUGGGGGAUAACGUCCGGAAACGGGCGCUAAUACCGCAUACGUCCUGAGGGAGAAAGUGGGGGAUCUUCGGACCUCACGCUAUCAGAUGAGCCUAGGUCGGAUUAGCUAGUUGGUGGGGUAAAGGCCUACCAAGGCGACGAUCCGUAACUGGUCUGAGAGGAUGAUCAGUCACACUGGAACUGAGACACGGUCCAGACUCCUACGGGAGGCAGCAGUGGGGAAUAUUGGACAAUGGGCGAAAGCCUGAUCCAGCCAUGCCGCGUGUGUGAAGAAGGUCUUCGGAUUGUAAAGCACUUUAAGUUGGGAGGAAGGGCAGUAAGUUAAUACCUUGCUGUUUUGACGUUACCAACAGAAUAAGCACCGGCUAACUUCGUG